Pelobates cultripes (western spadefoot toad) is the source of this 389-nucleotide non-coding RNA. Lineage: Eukaryota; Metazoa; Chordata; Amphibia; Anura; Pelobatidae. The record is from the annotation of a GenBank genome assembly.
CUGGGCUUUAAGGAGGCCAACUAAGGAGAUAAUGUACCAGAGGCACAUGGUUGCAUAGAGUUAGCUUCCUCUGGGGCAGGUGUCUUCUUGCAGUGGGAAGCGUGGAUCCAGUUAGGCCUUCCGGACAAUUUGACAGAGGUAGGGGAGAUCAGGAGAACUUGGAACGGUCCGUCAAAUCUUGGUUCCAGGGUAUGUUUUCGCACAAAUUUCUUGACCAGAACCCAGUCACCGGGGAGCAGACUGUGGUUGCCUGUGUCAGAAUCAGGAUCUGGAAUUGAAGAGAAAACUUGGGCAUGGAUUUUGUUCAAAGCAUUUGCGAGUUCAGUUACAUAAUCUACUAAAACAUCAGUUUGAAGAUGUAGUUGUUGGGGAAAAUAGCAACCUAGCCU